Molecule: long non-coding RNA, 525 nt
Organism: Protobothrops mucrosquamatus (brown spotted pit viper)
Lineage: Eukaryota; Metazoa; Chordata; Lepidosauria; Squamata; Viperidae
Exons: 3
Source: RefSeq, a predicted model, not a curated record
UUUAGCCAAACGGCCUGUUUUGUCUGAAAUAAAGGCAACCGCAGAUCAUCAGAAUAUCCUCCUUACAAUUUCUAUAUCACAAUUUGCACCUCAUGAUAUACAAGUCAGAUGGUACCAAGGCUGGAGACAAAUAUAUGAAAAGAUCAAUCCCAGGAAGUUUACGAUUGGAGAAGAUCACUUAUGUUAUUUUGUUAGUAAAAUACGCUUCGAUCCAAAAUUACUUAGCUUUGGGAAGACAAUACGAUGUGAAGUUAAACAUCUAACAUCUACUGAGGAAAAAAGCUUAACACUGAAUACAACAGAUUUUUCUGAACUUCUUGAGGAAACCCAACAUCAUCGCCCUGAGUCAUAACCAUUAUGAACUCAUUCAAAAGCGCUGUCCAGCCACCAUGGUCAGAAUAAUCCAACCUGCCCCUGGAGAAGGAAGAACCCUUACAAAACAUCUAUGAGGCCUGUUGUAAAGACUAUUCUAGCCAUCUGUUGGAUAAAACUGAACUCACUCUGAGUUAGACUUCAGCUAUGCAA